This 468-nucleotide ribosomal RNA is filed under the name uncultured bacterium. Its description in RNAcentral is "partial 16S ribosomal RNA". It matches the Rfam family "Bacterial small subunit ribosomal RNA", at positions 28 to 507 of the family's 1533-position model. The record is from RNAcentral.
GACGAACGCUGGCGGCGUGCUUAACACAUGCAAGUCGAACGGAAAGGCCCAGCUUUUGUGGGGUGCUCGAGUGGCGAACGGGUGAGUAACAAGUGAGUAACCUGCCCUUGACUUUGGGAUAACUUCAGGAAACUGGGGCUAAUACCGGAUAGGAACUCCUGAUGCAUGGUGGGGGUUGGAAAGUUUCGGCGGUUGGGGCUGGACUCGCGGCUUAUCAGCUUGUUGGUGGGGUAGUGGCUUACCAAGGUUUUGACGGGUAGCCGGCCUGAGAGGGUGACCGGCCACAGUGGGACUGAGAUACGGGCCGGAGUCCUACGUGAGGAAGCGGUGGGGAAUAUUGCACAAUGGGCGGAAGCCUGAUGCAGCAACGCCGCGUUCGGAAUGACGGCCUGCGGGGUGUAAACCGUUUUCGCCUGUGACGAAGCGGGAGUGACGGUAAUGGGUAAAGAAGCACCGGCUAACUACGUG